GCCCAGUCGUGCCAGCAGAGAAGACAUUGAAACAUGUGGCCACAGCAUGAGUAACUUGAGCAGUCCUCUUGCCCCUAACCGAACUCCAUCUCCAUUAGCACUGCAGCAUCACCCUUCAAAUAGAGACCACUUUAACCCAAUAUAUCAGUCAUCUGCAAAUCAAUCUCCGUGGUCAGCAAAAGCAUGCCAUGAGAACGAAUCUCUGCCCCCUGACAAUCUCUCAGAGGUAUCCACUAGGAAGAGUAAUAUGGGCACUCCAGAG
Molecule: unclassified non-coding RNA, 262 nt
Filed under: Hevea brasiliensis (rubber tree)
Lineage: Eukaryota; Viridiplantae; Streptophyta; Magnoliopsida; Malpighiales; Euphorbiaceae
Source: RNAcentral